Molecule: non-coding RNA, 166 nt
Filed under: Firmicutes bacterium CAG:631
Lineage: Bacteria; Bacillati; Bacillota
Also listed under: 1 other name
Description: Lysine riboswitch aptamer
Rfam family: Lysine riboswitch aptamer
About the family: Riboswitches are metabolite binding domains within certain messenger RNAs that serve as precision sensors for their corresponding targets. Allosteric rearrangement of mRNA structure is mediated by ligand binding, and this results in modulation of gene expression.
Source: Rfam by way of RNAcentral
AAGAUUGAUAGAGGCGCAGUAAAAAUGAGUAUCUAUGGGAGAAGACAUUCGUUGAACAUAGAAAAAGGUGCUACUGCCGAAACAUCAAAUGGGUACAUUUGAGAGUUGGGUUGCAAUGAAAGACAUUGCAAACUCCUACAAUAUUUGUAGAGGAGCUAUUGAUACA